AUACGGAGGGUGCGAGCGUUGUUCGGAAUUAUUGGGCGUAAAGCGCGUGUAGGCGGUCUUUUAAGUCUGAUGUGAAAGCCCCGGGCUCAACCCGGGAAGUGCAUUGGAAACUGGGAGACUUGAGUACGGGAGAGGGUAGUGGAAUUCCCAGUGUAGGAGUGAAAUCCGUAGAUAUUGGGAGGAACACCGGUGGCGAAGGCGGCUGCCUGGACUGAUACUGACGCUGAGACGCGAAAGCGUGGGGAGC
This 247-nucleotide ribosomal RNA is filed under the name uncultured bacterium. Its description in RNAcentral is "partial 16S ribosomal RNA". It matches the Rfam family "Bacterial small subunit ribosomal RNA", at positions 523 to 769 of the family's 1533-position model. The record is from RNAcentral.